GAUGAACGCUGGCGGCGUGCCUAAUACAUGCAAGUCGAGCGAACAGACGAGGAGCUUGCUCCUCUGACGUUAGCGGCGGACGGGUGAGUAACACGUGGAUAACCUACCUAUAAGACUGGGAUAACUUCGGGAAACCGGAGCUAAUACCGGAUAAUAUAUUGAACCGCAUGGUUCAAUAGUGAAAGACGGUUUUGCUGUCACUUAUAGAUGGAUCCGCGCCGCAUUAGCUAGUUGGUAAGGUAACGGCUUACCAAGGCAACGAUGCGUAGCCGACCUGAGAGGGUGAGCGGCCACCCUGGGACUGAGACACGGUCCAGACUCCUACGGGAGGCAGCAGUAGGGAAUCUUCCGGAAUGGGCGGAAGCCUGACGGAGCAACGCCGCGUGAGUGAUGAAGGUCUUCGGAUCGUAAAACUCUGUUAUUAGGGAAGAACAAAUGUGUAAGUAACUAUGCACGUCUUGACGGUACCUAGUCAGAAAGCCACGGCUAACUUCGUG
This 497-nucleotide ribosomal RNA is filed under the name uncultured bacterium. RNAcentral describes it as "partial 16S ribosomal RNA". It matches the Rfam family "Bacterial small subunit ribosomal RNA", at positions 28 to 507 of the family's 1533-position model. The record is from RNAcentral.